GACGAACGCUGGCGGCGCGCCUAACACAUGCAAGUCGAACGGAGUCAAGAGGAGCUUGCUUUUCUUGACUUAGUGGCGAACGGGUGAGUAACGCGUGAGUAACCUGCCCUGGAGUGGGGGACAACAGUUGGAAACGACUGCUAAUACCGCAUAAGCCCACGGAUCCGCAUGGAUCUGCGGGAAAAGGAUUUAUUCGCUUCAGGAUGGACUCGCGUCCAAUUAGCUAGUUGGUGAGGUAACGGCCCACCAAGGCGACGAUUGGUAGCCGGACUGAGAGGUUGAACGGCCACAUUGGGACUGAGACACGGCCCAGACUUCUACGGGAGGCAGCAGUGGGGGAUAUUGCACAAUGGGGGAAACCCUGAUGCAGCGACGCCGCGUGGAGGAAGAAGGUUUUCGGAUUGUAAACUCCUGUCGUUAGGGACGAUAAUGACGGUACCUAACAAGAAAGCACCGGCUAACUACGUG
Molecule: ribosomal RNA, 468 nt
Filed under: uncultured bacterium
Lineage: Bacteria
Description: partial 16S ribosomal RNA
Rfam family: Bacterial small subunit ribosomal RNA
Source: RNAcentral